RNAcentral lists this unclassified non-coding RNA (517 nucleotides) under Hevea brasiliensis (rubber tree). The record is from RNAcentral. Lineage: Eukaryota; Viridiplantae; Streptophyta; Magnoliopsida; Malpighiales; Euphorbiaceae.
GUCCCAUCCACUCCUCCGUCCAAAAUAAAUAAAAAUAAUAUUGUCAAAUCGCCACUACAUUAUUAUUUUUUUUUAAUUUUAAGUCAAAAAUAAAAACCCUAAACUAAAAAUAUAGUUAUUUAUCAAUAAAUUAUGCAGUGUGCACAAUGUUUUUUUUACAUAUACAAAUAAAAAUAAAAUAAAGACCAAUCGUUAUUUAGACAUAAGAAGCACAUGAUUAUUGCUUGGCCUGAAAUCCUUGACUCUCUUUUUUCCUUUCUUGUUCUUUUUCCCUAGAAAAGCCAAGGCCUUUCCCAGAUCACAAAGAUCUAUCUAAUUCCUAAGGCUACGUUUGCUUCAGAGGAAAAUAAAGAAACAAAGAAAAUUAUGACAAAAAAUAAACAUAUUUUUUAUCUUCUCUUAUUUUGAAAUGAGAAAAAAAUAAAAAAAAUGAAAAAUAAAGAAGAAAAAUAAUAAAUAUAUUUACUAUUUAUUUUCUCUCCAUUAAAAAAAAAGUGGGUGAAAAAAUCAUAUAAUU